RNAcentral lists this ribosomal RNA (442 nucleotides) under uncultured soil bacterium. RNAcentral describes it as "bacterial SSU rRNA". It matches the Rfam family "Bacterial small subunit ribosomal RNA", at positions 26 to 518 of the family's 1533-position model. The record is from RNAcentral.
AGAACGAACGCUGGCGGCAGGCUUAACACAUGCAAGUCGAACGCCCUGCAAGGGGAGUGGCAGACGGGUGAGUAACGCGUGGGAAUCUACCCAUCUCUACGGGAUAGCUCCGGGAAACUGGAAUUAAUACCGUAUACGUCCUCCGGGAGAAAGAUUUAUCGGGGAUGGAUGAGCCCGCGUUGGAUUAGCUAGUUGGUGGGUAAAGCCUACCAAGGCGACGAUCCAUAGCUGGUCUAAGAGGAUGAUCAGCCACAUUGGGACUGAGACACGGCCCAAACUCCUACGGGAGGCAGCAGUGGGGAAUAUUGGACAAUGGGCGCAAGCCUGAUCCAGCCAUGCGCGUGAGUGAUGAAGGCCCUAGGGUUGUAAAGCUCUUUCAGUGGGGACGAGUAAUGACGGUACCCACGAGAAGAAGCCCGCUAACUUCGUGCCAGCAGCCGAC